Small nuclear RNA from Meriones unguiculatus (Mongolian gerbil), 107 nucleotides. The record is from Ensembl. Lineage: Eukaryota; Metazoa; Chordata; Mammalia; Rodentia; Muridae.
CUGCUUGCUUCGGCAGCACAUAUACUGUAAUGGGAAUGAUACAGAGAAGAUUAGCUUGCUCCUUGUGCAAAGGAAAGACACACAGUCUUGAAGCAUUCUCUAUUUUU